Long non-coding RNA from Chelonia mydas (Green sea turtle), 797 nucleotides. RefSeq lists it as uncharacterized. The transcript is spliced from 2 exons. The record is from RefSeq and is a predicted model, not a curated record. Lineage: Eukaryota; Metazoa; Chordata; Testudines; Cheloniidae.
GGGGAAGGAAGUAAAACCCCAGCUGACUGGGGGAAGUGGCAGCAGCUGGGGGCCACGCCCGAAUCAGGGCCCAGCUGGCUCUAUAAAGGCUGUGAGCCAGAAGCCAAGAGAGACCACUCUCUAGGUUCCUCUAGCUCUGAGAUGGAGGGACCUGGCUGCAAAGACCUGAAUAGAGGACCUAGUUUAGAGCAGGAUUGGGGAAAGGCCAAGGGAGCUGGGGAGCUCCAGCCAAGGAAAGCCCCAGGCAGCGGGCCUGGUAAGGUCUGUUAGGUACAGGGGUUGCAGGGGCAGCCACAGGUAGGCAGCAGGUCCAAACCCAACCUUGCUGGUGAUGAGUGGCUCAUACUGCAGUCUGCCUCAGGGUGCAGGGGCUAGCUGGUGCUGUAUUGAGAAUUGACAAUGAAAAUAUGUCUGUCACUACUGUGAAUGUAAAACUGUCUCUACUGAAAAGUAAAUACAUUUAAAAUUUCUAUCACACCCUUUCAAUGAGUAAAUGAUGGAGUGGGUGUGUGCAUGUCUGUGCACAGAGUUUCAGAAUUACCACUGCAAGAAAUAUGGGUCUCUUCUGCUCGGUUAUCACAGGACUGCUGUUUCCAUAUGCCUGACGGGCACUGCCAAAGGGACCUGUGCUGCUCACUGCAUGCAACAUGGUCCAGCCAUGUGGGACCAGAACCUGCUCCAUAUGCCAAGUCUCUUGCAACCUGCCCUCUAUCCCCACAGUUCAGCUGUUUGCAGACAAUUGCUGGGGUGACUCCAGACAUCUGAUUGGAGCAAACACUGCCCCACGUCCCAUUGUA